Molecule: non-coding RNA, 1662 nt
Filed under: Saccharomyces cerevisiae (brewer's yeast)
Lineage: Eukaryota; Fungi; Ascomycota; Saccharomycetes; Saccharomycetales; Saccharomycetaceae
Description: ribosomal RNA
Rfam family: Bacterial small subunit ribosomal RNA
Source: RNAcentral
AUUAAUAAGAAUAUGAUGUUGGUUCAGAUUAAGCGCUAAAUAAGGACAUGACACAUGCGAAUCAUACGUUUAUUAUUGAUAAGAUAAUAAAUAUGUGGUGUAAACGUGAGUAAUUUUAUUAGGAAUUAAUGAACUAUAGAAUAAGCUAAAUACUUAAUAUAUUAUUAAAAAAAAAUAAUUUAUAUAAUAAAAAGGAUAUAUAUAUAAUAUAUAUUUAUCUAUAGUCAAGCCAAUAAUGGUUUAGGUAGUAGGUUUAUUAAGAGUUAACCUAGCCAACGAUCCAUAAUCGAUAAUGAAAGUUAGAACGAUCACGUUGACUCUGAAAUAUAGUCAAUAUCUAUAAGAUACAGCAGUGAGGAAUAUUGGACAAUGAUCGAAAGAUUGAUCCAGUUACUUAUUAGGAUGAUAUAUAAAAAUAUUUUAUUUUAUUUAGUUCCGGGGCCCGGCCACGGGAGCCGGAACCCCGAAAGGAGAAAUAUUAAAUAUUUAUAAUAAUAAUAAUAAUAUAUAUAUAUAAAUUGAUUAAAAAUAAAAUCCAUAAAUAAUUAAAAUAAUGAUAUUAAUUACCAUAUAUAUUUUUAUAUGGAUAUAUAUAUUAAUAAUAAAAUUAAUUUAUUAUUAUUAAUAAUAUAUUUUAAUAGUCCUGACUAAUAUUUGUGCCAGCAGUCGCGGUAACACAAAGAGGGCGAGCGUUAAUCAUAAUGGUUUAAAGGAUCCGUAGAAUGAAUUAUAUAUUAUAAUUUAGAGUUAAUAAAAUAUAAUUAAAGAAUUAUAAUAGUAAAGAUGAAAUAAUAAUAAUAAUUAUAAGACUAAUAUAUGUGAAAAUAUUAAUUAAAUAUUAACUGACAUUGAGGGAUUAAAACUAGAGUAGCGAAACGGAUUCGAUACCCGUGUAGUUCUAGUAGUAAACUAUGAAUACAAUUAUUUAUAAUAUAUAUUAUAUAUAAAUAAUAAAUGAAAAUGAAAGUAUUCCACCUGAAGAGUACGUUAGCAAUAAUAAAACUCAAAACAAUAGACGGUUACAGACUUAAGCAGUGGAGCAUGUUAUUUAAUUCGAUAAUCCACGACUAACCUUACCAUAUUUUGAAUAUUAUAAUAAUUAUUAUAAUUAUUAUAUUACAGGCGUUACAUUGUUGUCUUUAGUUCGUGCUGCAAAGUUUUAGAUUAAGUUCAUAAACGAACAAAACUCCAUAUAUAUAAUUUUAAUUAUAUAUAAUUUUAUAUUAUUUAUUAAUAUAAAGAAAGGAAUUAAGACAAAUCAUAAUGAUCCUUAUAAUAUGGGUAAUAGACGUGCUAUAAUAAAAUGAUAAUAAAAUUAUAUAAAAUAUAUUUAAUUAUAUUUAAUUAAUAAUAUAAAACAUUUUAAUUUUUAAUAUAUUUUUUUAUUAUAUAUUAAUAUGAAUUAUAAUCUGAAAUUCGAUUAUAUGAAAAAAGAAUUGCUAGUAAUACGUAAAUUAGUAUGUUACGGUGAAUAUUCUAACUGUUUCGCACUAAUCACUCAUCACGCGUUGAAACAUAUUAUUAUCUUAUUAUUUAUAUAAUAUUUUUUAAUAAAUAUUAAUAAUUAUUAAUUUAUAUUUAUUUAUAUCAGAAAUAAUAUGAAUUAAUGCGAAGUUGAAAUACAGUUACCGUAGGGGAACCUGCGGUGGGCUUAUAAAUAUC